Molecule: long non-coding RNA, 977 nt
Filed under: Homo sapiens (human)
Lineage: Eukaryota; Metazoa; Chordata; Mammalia; Primates; Hominidae
Description: non-protein coding TOB1-AS1:6
Source: RNAcentral
GGAGCGGCAAGAGUACCCAGAAAGUGCCCUCUCCGCGGGGGUCUGCGGCCAAGGAGGAUCCUGCUCGUGGAAUAGCUACCAAAUCGGCCUCCAGCCCACCCCAGGGGCGGGGUAGAGAAAGGGCAAACUGUGACCGGGACUUGUGCACCCGAUUAAUUGAAUAUUAAUCACCCCAAGGCCUAGGCCAACCGCCACCCAGAGAGUGGCAGCUGCAGAACCCAAAGACGUGGAGCCGGGCUGGGGGUGGGGAAGGGAGGCCGCCACAGCUCCCGCCCCGCCGGCAGUUUAACUGCUUCCGCAGCCUCAGGCCUCCCGGUGCGACCCCGGCUGCGACUCGGAUCCGUUUAUUCCAAAUGUCCCAGCCCACGCCGUGCCCAGAGUGUGGCGACACGAGGCCAAACUGCGUAGCAACGACGCCUGAUUGGCUGCGCUGGUCCCUUCGCAACGAGGCGAUUGGCUGCCUGGUAUCCAGGAGACCGACGUCAAACUCGGACUGGGAAAAGGGGAAAGUCGAGGAGUAGGGUGUCUACGGGGCGGGCCCGUGUAGACCAGCUGUGCUCCUCGGGCACAAACCCGCCGUACAUGCCAGGCCUAGAAGCUUUUGGCUUUGUGGACGCAAAAUCUGGUUGGAGCCGCCUUCUCCACCCUGACUCUCCCGCCUCUCCUUUUUAGAAGGAACCGCACUGAGAAAGGGUAUUUCUGAAGGCUCAAUGCGUAGGAGAAGGGGUGGGAAGAUGGGUUUGUGGAAUGGGCUGAGGGUGGGGAGUGGUCAGGUGACUGAUUUCAUGUUUAUUGUACAGAUUCCUAAAACAUAGUUUUACUAAGUGACUCCUUAAAUUCUGAUUAAUGUGAUUUUUUUUUUUUUUUGAGUGUUUGGGUUUUUUAGUUGCAAACAGGAGUGGAAUUGAAAUGUGAAAGUAUGGCAAAACUGUGAAAGCAUUUAAAUUAAAAUGUCCCUUCCUCUGCAUUGAAAUGUC